AUUGAACGCUGGCGGCAUGCCUUACACAUGCAAGUCGAACGGUAACAGGUCUUCGGAUGCUGACGAGUGGCGAACGGGUGAGUAAUACAUCGGAACGUGCCCGAUCGUGGGGGAUAACGAAGCGAAAGCUUUGCUAAUACCGCAUAAGAUCUACGGAUGAAAGCAGGGGACCGCAAGGCCUUGCGCGAACGGAGCGGCCGAUGGCAGAUUAGGUAGUUGGUGGGAUAAAGGCUUACCAAGCCGACGAUCUGUAGCUGGUCUGAGAGGACGACCAGCCACACUGGGACUGAGACACGGCCCAGACUCCUACGGGAGGCAGCAGUGGGGAAUUUUGGACAAUGGGCGAAAGCCUGAUCCAGCCAUGCCGCGUGCAGGAUGAAGGCCUUCGGGUUGUAAACUGCUUUUGUACGGAACGAAAAGACUCUGGUUAAUACCUGGGGUCCAUGACGGUACCGUAAGAAUAAGCACCGGCUAACUACGUG
This 482-nucleotide ribosomal RNA is filed under the name uncultured bacterium. Its description in RNAcentral is "partial 16S ribosomal RNA". It matches the Rfam family "Bacterial small subunit ribosomal RNA", at positions 30 to 507 of the family's 1533-position model. The record is from RNAcentral.